RNAcentral lists this long non-coding RNA (1107 nucleotides) under Oryctolagus cuniculus (rabbit). Its description in RNAcentral is "lncRNA (ENSOCUG00000033376.1)". The record is from RNAcentral. Lineage: Eukaryota; Metazoa; Chordata; Mammalia; Lagomorpha; Leporidae.
AUGGUAGAGGAACCGCAUGCGGCUUCCUCACUGGGGCUUUCGGGGGCGUGGGCUGGGGCUGGCCGUCCUGCCUCCCUCCGGGUAUCCCGGCAAAGCCUCGCUGUCAGAGUAGGAGGUCCUGCCUUUCCCCAACCCGCAGCCCCUCCUCCCCGCCCGCCAACCCAGGGUUCACCCUUUUUGUUUACUUAUUUAACAUAUAUUUAUUGCAAAGGCAGACUGAAAGGAAAAAGAGAACUUCCAUGUGCCGUGCACCUCCACCAGCGCCUGCCAACAACCAGGGUUGGGCCAAGCCCGAGCCAGGAGCUCCUCUGGGGUCUCCCACGUGGGUGGCAGGGACCCGCGUCCUUGAGCCACCAUCUGCCGCCUCCCCGUCUGCGCAUCAGCAGGCAGCUGGAAUCGGGAGCUGAGCAGGGGACUGGAUCCCGGGCACUCAGCUCUGGGGUGCGUGGGGGUCCCAGGCAGCGGCCAGGCACGGAGCCCACCCCUCACCCUGUAAGGAACCAGGCGCGAGCACCGCCCUCGGAGUUCCCAGUCGGCCGUUCCCACGGGCGAAUCCACAUUACUGGUGUUUUCAGGCUGUCUGCCCGGGCUUUACGGUCCGUGUUUCUGUCUCCACGCGGGCGACUGGAGUCAGAACCCGACAGACCUGCCGCUGGCCAACCUGGGGGCCCAAGGGCAAAGCCCUGCAGCGCUCCGAGUCUCGGUUUCCUCGUGCUCAGGAGCGGGGCCGGCGCCUACAGGUGCCUGCGCGCAUCCAGGCGGCGGCGGUCCCUGCCUCUCCCACGGCGCCCCGCGCCAAGGGCACCAGCGGUGGCAGUCUGUGCCCCCACGCACCCCGACAACGUCCCGCCAGGCCUGGCGGCCGAGAGAGACGGCCCCCUGGGCUCCGGAAACCCUCCGGGCAACCCGGAAAAGAUCCGCUCUUGGUUCGCCCCUAACCCUAACCGAACUCCUCCGCCCGGAACGAAUAUAAAGGCCAGGGCUGAAGGCGCGGGGUGCGGCCUGAGGACGAGCACUAGGGGCUGGAGAGGAGCCUGCGCCCCAACUCGGAGCGAGGAUGCGUGCAGCCCGGACAGCUCUCGUCCGCGCUCCGGGGCUGCAGGCUGA